UUUGUGACCUGGUCCACUAACCCU
Molecule: non-coding RNA, 24 nt
Filed under: Callithrix jacchus (white-tufted-ear marmoset)
Lineage: Eukaryota; Metazoa; Chordata; Mammalia; Primates; Cebidae
Also listed under: 2 other names
Source: RNAcentral